GUUUCCGUAGGUGAACCUGCGGAAGGAUCAUUAUUGAAUGAAUGUAGAGUUGGUUGUCGCUGGCCUUUGUUGGCAUGUGCACGCCUUCUCUUUCAUCCACACACACCUGUGCACCUGUAGACGGGGAGAGCUCGCCCUUUUGCGAGGAUGUUUUCUCUCCGUCUGCCAUUACACAAACUCAUUGUAUUUAAUUUGAAUGUAAUUGAUGUAACGCAUCUAUAAACUAAGUUUCAACAACGGAUCUCUUGGCUCUCGCAUCGAUGAAGAACGCAGCGAAAUGCGAUAAGUAAUGUGAAUUGCAGAAUUCAGUGAAUCAUCGAAUCUUUGAACGCACCUUGCGCUCCUUGGUAUUCCUUGGAGCAUGCCUGUUUGAGUAUCAUGAAAUUAUCAAAACAAACCUUUUGUUAAUUCGAUUGGUUUUUUGUUUUGGACUUGGAGGUCUUUUUUGCGGAUUCACGUCUGCUCCUCCUAAAAAUAUUAGCUGGAUCUCAGUGAGCUCGGUUCCACUCGGCGUGAUAAGUAUCAUUCGCUGAGGACACCCGUAAAAAAGGUGGCCGGGAACGCAGAUGAACCGCUUCCAAUAGUCCAUUAAAUUGGACAACACACUUUAUGAU
RNAcentral lists this ribosomal RNA (614 nucleotides) under uncultured Ceratobasidiaceae. RNAcentral describes it as "eukaryotic LSU rRNA". The stretch from base 226 to 379 matches the Rfam family "5.8S ribosomal RNA". Lineage: Eukaryota; Fungi; Basidiomycota; Agaricomycetes; Cantharellales; Ceratobasidiaceae. The record is from RNAcentral.